This 103-nucleotide ribosomal RNA is filed under the name uncultured bacterium. Its description in RNAcentral is "partial 16S ribosomal RNA". It matches the Rfam family "Bacterial small subunit ribosomal RNA", at positions 355 to 457 of the family's 1533-position model. The record is from RNAcentral.
UGGGGAAUAUUGCACAAUGGGCGAAAGCCUGAUGCAGCGACGCCGCGUGAAGGAUGAAGUAUUUCGGUAUGUAAACUUCUAUCAGCAGGGAAGAAAAUGACGG